Molecule: ribosomal RNA, 250 nt
Filed under: uncultured prokaryote
Description: partial 16S ribosomal RNA
Rfam family: Bacterial small subunit ribosomal RNA
Source: RNAcentral
UACAUAGGGGGCAAGCGUUGUCCGGAAUAACUGGGCGUAAAGGGUGCGUAGGUGGUUAGGUAAGUUAAAUGUGAAAGCCCGCAGCUCAACUGCGGAACUGCAUUUAAUACUGCUUGACUGGAGUGCAGGAGAGGUAAGUGGAAUUCCUAGUGUAGCGGUGGAAUGCGUAGAUAUUAGGAGGAACACCAGAGGCGAAGGCGGCUUACUGGACUGUAACUGACACUGAGGCACGAAAGCGUGGGGAGCAAAC